Molecule: long non-coding RNA, 454 nt
Organism: Ochotona curzoniae (black-lipped pika)
Lineage: Eukaryota; Metazoa; Chordata; Mammalia; Lagomorpha; Ochotonidae
Exons: 2
Source: RefSeq, a predicted model, not a curated record
GGAAAAGAAGGUGAACCAGCCGCUUGAGUGCUGGAAACAAAGUGGGUUCUCUUCAUUUCCCCGCGCCGAGACGCUCAGGAACCGUAACCUCAACGAAGCCGGUUAUGGGGGGUGGAUUUGUGGCGUCCAGGACCAAAGAAGUUCAAAGGGUUUGGAGCGAUGAAGCAAAAAUGGACACAGAUUUGGAAGUUCUUGAAAGACUUAGCAAACUGACUUCUAAUAGUUUGUACCAGUUAGCAGAAUCCGGGACUUCUAGAAUCAAACCAGUAAUGCUACUGGAUUCUGGACCAAAGUAAGUGAACAUCUAUUUCACAGAAAACCAUCUAUAAUAGCUAGGGACUCUGAGAAUGGCAAUCCAUCAGCCGCAUUUCUGGACUGACCCGAGAUGGGUGGGAGCAGCGGAGCCUUCUCUAAGCCUGAGGCCACACCAUCUGGAGACAGCUGGCCAAGUUAG